AAUAUUGGACAAUGGGGGCAACCCUGAUGCAGCGACGCCGCGUGAGCGAAGAAGGCCUUCGGGUCGUAAAGCUCUGUCCUAAGGGAAGAAGAGGACGGUACCUUAGGAGGAAGCCACUGCUAACUACCUGCCAGCAGCAGCGGUAAUACGUAGGGGGCGAGCGUUAUCCGGAAUUACUGGGCGUAAAGGGUGCGUAGUCGGCCUUUUAAGUCAGAUGUGAAAGGCUACGGCUUAACCGUAGUUAGCAUUUGAAACUAAGAGGCUUGAGUGCAGGAGAGGAGAGUGGAAUUCCUAGUGUAGCGGUGAAAUGCGUAGAUAUUAGGAGGAACACCAGUGGCGAAGGCGACUCUCUGGACUGCAACUGACGCUGAGGCACGAAAGCGUGGGUAGCGAAC
RNAcentral lists this ribosomal RNA (395 nucleotides) under uncultured bacterium. RNAcentral describes it as "partial 16S ribosomal RNA". It matches the Rfam family "Bacterial small subunit ribosomal RNA", at positions 360 to 773 of the family's 1533-position model. The record is from RNAcentral.